AGCUCCAAUAGCGUAUAUUAAAGUUGUUGCAGUUAAAAAGCUCGUAGUUGGAUUUCUGUUUUGAGCGUCCGGUCCGCUUUUAAAGUGUGUUACUAGGAUGUUUGAGACAUUUUUUGUGAGGAUGUCCUUCUGCUAUUCAGUUAGUGGUUGGAUAGACUUGCAUCGUUUACUGUGAAAAAAUUAGAGUGUUUAAAGCAGGCGUUUGCUCAUUGAAUACAUUAGCAUGGAAUAAUAAGAUACGACCUUGGUGGUCUAUUUUGUUGGUUUGCACACCAGGGUAAUGAUUAAUAGGGACAGUUGGGGGUAUUCAUAUUUCAGCGUCAGAGGUGAAAUUCUUGGAUCGCUGAAAGAUGAGCUUAGGCGAAAGCAUUUACCAAGGAUGUUUUCA
RNAcentral lists this ribosomal RNA (388 nucleotides) under uncultured eukaryote. RNAcentral describes it as "SSU rRNA". It matches the Rfam family "Eukaryotic small subunit ribosomal RNA", at positions 587 to 972 of the family's 1831-position model. The record is from RNAcentral.